CCUACGGGCGGCAGCAGUGGGGAAUAUUGCACAAUGGGGGAAACCCUGAUGCAGCGACGCCGCGUGAGUGAAGAAGUAUUUCGGUAUGUAAAGCUCUAUCAGCAGGAACGAGACAAGACGGUACCUGACGAAGAAGCCCCGGCUAACUACGUGCCAGCAGCCGCGGUAAUACGGAGGGGGCAAGCGUUAUCCGGAAUCACUGGGUGUAAAGGGAGCGUAGACGGCUGUGCAAGCCUGAUGUGAAAGGCCGGGGCCCAACCCGUGGACUGCAUUGGGAACUGUACGGCUGGAGUGCAGGAGAGGUAAGUGGAAUUCCUGGUGUAGCGGUGAAAUGCGUAGAUAUGAGGAGGAACACCAGUGGCGAAGGCGGCUUACUGGACUGUAACUGACGUUGAGGCUCGAAAGCGUGGGGAGCAAACAGGAUUAGAUACCCUUGUAGUC
Molecule: ribosomal RNA, 441 nt
Filed under: uncultured bacterium
Lineage: Bacteria
Description: partial 16S ribosomal RNA
Rfam family: Bacterial small subunit ribosomal RNA
Source: RNAcentral